AGAACGCUUUAUAUAUACCACUUAUAUCAGUUGAACCAAAAGCUCUAAAUUGAAAAAAUCCUAAAAUUGGAUAUGUGAUUCGCAGCAAAGCAACAAAUCCUCUUUCCUGCAGUCUCGAUUCUCAGCAUUUCCAUCUCAUUCGCUUGUUCGAUCUCGAAUCUCCAACUUUAGGUAAUGGGUAUUGAUGUUGUUUUGGGUUUUAAGUGAUGGGGUUAGCGUGUUACUGUUUUGGGUUAUAGGUGAUAGGGUCAUCAUGUUAUUGCUUUGGGUUUUAGAUGAUGGGGUUUGUUUUAUGUUUAGGUGUUUCUUUGGGCUCUGUUAUGUACUUGUAUUGUAUUGAGAUGUUAAUGAAAUGGUACACUUUUGGCACAA
Cornus florida is the source of this 372-nucleotide long non-coding RNA. RefSeq lists it as uncharacterized. The transcript is spliced from 2 exons. The record is from RefSeq and is a predicted model, not a curated record. Lineage: Eukaryota; Viridiplantae; Streptophyta; Magnoliopsida; Cornales; Cornaceae.